GCGCUGAGAUCACGCCACUGCACUCCCGCCUGAAUGGCGGGAACAAAACUCCAUCUCAAAAAACAAAAAAUCCACAUGAAUAAAUAUAGCAUAAGUCCACUGCCUAAGAUGAUAAAAGAAAAAUUAGGUAAAGGCAAAUGAAGGUUAAGUCUAGUAUAGCCUAUAGGAAAAAAUUAUCUGUACUGCUAAAUAAAACUGAUAGUCAAAGCUCCCAGUCCCAUAAAUCAGAUCAUGCCCAAAUGAAUGCAUAAAAAUCCACCAAGAGGGAGUCUCUGAGCCUAUUGUGGCUCAGGAGGCUGCCUGAUUGGAAAA
Sapajus apella (tufted capuchin) is the source of this 312-nucleotide long non-coding RNA. RefSeq lists it as uncharacterized. The transcript has 2 exons. NCBI's taxonomy places the organism in Eukaryota, Metazoa, Chordata, Mammalia, Primates, Cebidae. The record is from RefSeq and is a predicted model, not a curated record.